AGAGAGCAAGGGAAAGCGAGAGGAGACAUGAGAGAAGCUGACUGCGCUCAGCAGAGAUUUGUGGUGACCUGGCAGAUCAGCGCAAUGGCUGGGGGGAAGGAUUUACAGCCAGGAAAGCUGCCCCUCGCCCGCCUGGAGAUGGCACGCGGGGCCAAGUCGCUGUUUGCUGGAGUUUGUGCAUUGCAAUACAGCAGAGGCAGCAGAGGUAAUGAAUGGUGAUUCCCUUGCAGUUUUCACCCUGCCUUUGCCCCCUAUCUAUCCAGCUGCAGAAACCCCGUUUUUAACCCUCACGCUGCCUCAAGCGUCUGGGCUGCAUUACCACCCAUCUCCUACCACCCCUUCUGCACUGCCCGCAGCGGCACUGUCCCCCACUUUCUUCCUAUGCCGCCAGAGCCCCUGUUUGUGCCGCUGGCAGGGCAAGCGAUGGCACAUGCAGUGACAAAUUCGGGGCGCUGUGCAUGCUGCCCGGCCAGCCAGGCCGGGCGCACUAGUUGCCCAGCUGGUCCCUGCCAGGCACAUGGGACACCGGUUAACGUUGCCAACCUGCCUCUAGUCAGGCAGCCCCACACUAGUCACUUCUUCCCCCUCUGCCGAGGCACAGAUUUCUGUGAAAACUGCAGGAACUUCAACAUCUUUUGCACCUUACAGUUGCUUGGAACUGGCCCGCGGGUUUGUUGCCGCAGGGACGCUGCAAGCCUUGUUUCUGGACAAGGAGCUGACAAGGGUGCUGACGAGGAGCGCUACGUUGGCGAGACAGCCCUGGGCCGCCUUUGCGGGGCUGGACAGGAGCCUCGGUUAUGUUGGUGCCAGCAGUAUGUGCCUUUCCAAGGGCUGAAUUUAGUCCGAGGAGCCUCCGGGAACAAGAGGGGAGAUCGUGGCAAGGGAGGCCCAGCGGCCGAGGUGCGGCUCGCUCAGAGCAGCGCAGCAGCAGAGAAGGGAGCCUUUCAGCAACGAACAGCAAGGCUUUUGAAUCCGAGUAUACGGAAAGGAAAACUGCGUUUUGCUUUCUCUGCCUGCCCUGCCCAGAGUGAAAAACUCAGCUCUAAGGAAAAACUUCUGUCGAAAUGGAAACAUGCUUGCCACACUGCCCUUUGCAAAAGAAACAACUUGGCUUUUGACCAUAAGUGGAAUUUCCUUACAUG
RNAcentral lists this long non-coding RNA (1142 nucleotides) under Struthio camelus australis. Its description in RNAcentral is "lncRNA (ENSSCUG00000009072.1)". Lineage: Eukaryota; Metazoa; Chordata; Aves; Struthioniformes; Struthionidae. The record is from RNAcentral.